GGCGAGUGAAGCGGCAACAGCUCAAAUUUGAAAUCUGGCCCCUAGGGUCCGAGUUGUAAUUUGUAGAGGAUGCUUUUGGUGAGGUGCCGCCCGAGUUCCCUGGAACGGGACGCCACAGAGGGUGAGAGCCCCGUCUGGCUGGCCGCCGAGCCUCUGUAAAGCUCCUUCGACGAGUCGAGUAGUUUGGGAAUGCUGCUCAAAAUGGGAGGUAUAUGUCUUCUAAAGCUAAAUAUUGGCCAGAGACCGAUAGCGCACAAGUAGAGUGAUCGAAAGAUGAAAAGCACCUUGAAAAGAGGGUUAAAUAGUACGUGAAAUUGUUGAAAGGGAAGCGCUUGUGACCAGACUUGGGCGCGGCGGAUCAUCCGGGGUUCUCUCCGGUGCACUUCGCCGCGUCUAGGCCAGCAUCAGUUCGUCGCGGGGGAAAAAGGCUUCGGGAACGUGGCUCCUCCGGGAGUGUUAUAGCCCGUUGCAUAAUACCCUGCGGUGGACUGAGGACCGCGCAUCUGCAAGGAUGCUGGCGUAAUGGUCACCAGCGACCCGUCUUGAAACACGGACCAAGGAGUCGUCUUCGUAUGCGAGUGUUCGGGUGUCAAACCCCUACGCGUAAUGAAAGUGAACGCAGGUGAGAGCUUCGGCGCAUCAUCGACCGAUCCUGAUGUUCUCGGAUGGAUUUGAGUAAGAGCAUACGGGGCCGGACCCGAAAGAAGGUGAACUAUGCCUGUAUAGGGUGAAGCCAGAGGAAACUCUGGUGGAGGCUCGCAGCGGUUCUGACGUGCAAAUCGAUCGUCAAAUAUGGGCAUGGGGGCGAAAGACUAAUCGAACCUUCUAGUA
RNAcentral lists this ribosomal RNA (831 nucleotides) under Sordariomycetes sp. RNAcentral describes it as "partial large subunit ribosomal RNA". It matches the Rfam family "Eukaryotic large subunit ribosomal RNA", at positions 88 to 949 of the family's 3401-position model. Lineage: Eukaryota; Fungi; Ascomycota; Sordariomycetes. The record is from RNAcentral.